RNAcentral lists this ribosomal RNA (253 nucleotides) under uncultured bacterium. Its description in RNAcentral is "partial 16S ribosomal RNA". It matches the Rfam family "Bacterial small subunit ribosomal RNA", at positions 524 to 776 of the family's 1533-position model. The record is from RNAcentral.
UACGUAGGGCGCAAGCGUUGUCCGGAAUUAUUGGGCGUAAAGAGCUCGUAGGCGGCCAGUUGCGUCUGCUGUGAAAUCCCGGGGCUCAACCCCGGGCGUGCAGUGGAUACGGGCUGGCUAGAGGCAGGCAGGGGAGAACGGAAUUCCCGGUGUAGCGGUGAAAUGCGCAGAUAUCAGGAGGAACACCAAUGGCGAAGGCAGCUCGCUGGGACGGUACUGACGCUGAGACGCGAAAGCGUGGGGAGCAAACAGG